ACGGCCUUCGGGUUGUAAACCUCUUUUAGUAGGGAAGAAGCGUAACAGUGACGGUACCUGCAGAAAAAGCACCGGCUAACUACGUGCCAGCAGCCGCGGUAAUACGUAGGGUGCAAGCGUUGUCCGGGAUUAUUGGGCGUAAAGAGCUCGUAGGCGGUUUGUCGCGUCUGCUGUGAAAACCCGAGGCUCAACCUCGGGCCUGCAGUGGGUACGGGCAGACUAGAGUGCGGUAGGGGAGAUUGGAAUUCCUGGUGUAGCGGUGGAAUGCGCAGAUAUCAGGAGGAACACCAAUGGCGAAGGCAGAUCUCUGGGCCGUAACUGACGCUGAGGAGCGAAAGCAUGGGGAGCGAACAGGAUUAGAUACCCUGGUAGUCCAUGCCGUAAACGUUGGGAACUAGAUGUGGGGACCAUUCCACGGUCUCCGUGUCGCAGCUAACGCAUUAAGUUCCCCGCCUGGGGAGUACGGCCGCAAGGCUAAAACUCAAAGGAAUUGACGGAAUCGAAUU
RNAcentral lists this ribosomal RNA (506 nucleotides) under uncultured bacterium. Its description in RNAcentral is "bacterial SSU rRNA". It matches the Rfam family "Bacterial small subunit ribosomal RNA", at positions 411 to 925 of the family's 1533-position model. The record is from RNAcentral.